Molecule: ribosomal RNA, 2517 nt
Filed under: uncultured Vexilliferidae
Lineage: Eukaryota; Discosea; Flabellinia; Dactylopodida; Vexilliferidae
Description: partial Bacterial large subunit ribosomal RNA
Rfam family: Bacterial large subunit ribosomal RNA
Source: RNAcentral
UAAGUAUUUAAAGGAUAUCUUGGUUUUAUGUUUUAAGGACGUAUUAAAUGCGAAAAGUUAAAGGUAAAUGAAAAAUUUGUAAUCUUUAAAUUUCCAAAGAUAAAUCAAUAUUAAUUUAAUUAAUAAAAUUACGUAGUGAACUGAAACAUCUAAGUAACUAUAGGAAAAAAAAUCAAUAGAGAUUUUGUGAGUAGUGGUGAGCGAAAGUAAAAUAAAGCCUUUUUAAUAUUAUUUAUAAAAAUUUUUUUUUAAUAUUUGAUGAAACAAUAACAAAAAAGGUGUAAGUCCUGUAAAAAAAAAAUAAUAAUAUUAAAUGAGUAAGACGGAAAAUGUAAUUUUGUCUGAAGAUUGGAGAACCACCAUCCAAAGCUUAAAUAUAGCAUAAAAACCGAUAGUGUACGGAGUACCGUAAGGGAAAGAUGAACAAGAACCAUAUUAUGUGGAGUGAAAUAGACCUUGAAAUUAAAUAUUUAUUAACUGUUGAAUUUCUAAUUUUAUAAAUUACGAAAAACAACGUACCUUUUGUAUAAUGGGUCAGUGAGUUAAUAUAUAUAGCAAGCUUAAAUUUUAAAAAUGUAGGCGUAGUGAAAGCAAAUUUUAAUUGAAUAAUUAGUUAUAUGUAUUAGACCCGAAAUCAAGUGAGCUAACCAUGAGCAGGUUGAUAAUUAGCAAAAAAGCUUUUUUGUAGGACCGAACCCGUGUAUGUUGAAAGAUACUGGGAUGACUUGUGGUUAGGGGUGAAAGGCCAAUCAAACUUGAAGAUAGCUGGUUUUCUACGAAAUCUAUGUAAGUAGAGCGUUAUUUUAUUUAUUUAUUAAUGGUAGAGCAAUAACUAGAUUGUUAGAUUUAACAAAACUACGAAUAUUAAUAAAUUAAAAAUAACAGACAGACAUUAGGUGCGAAGAUCUAAAGUCAAAAGGGAAACAGCCCAGAUUAUUAGCUAAGAUCCCAAAGUUAUAGCCUAGUGAGUAAGGUCAAAAUAUUUAAUUAUUAUAAAUUUAUAAUAAGUAUAAUUAGGAGGUAAUCUUAUGAGCAGUUAUCCUUUAAAGAAAGCGUAAAAGCUCACUAUUUAUAUUGAAUAUUUUUACCUAUAAUUUAUAGGGACUAGCAGCUAUACAUCGAAGCUAUAAAUUAAUAAAAUUUUUAUUAAUGGUAGUAGAACGUUUUGUAUUUUGUUGAAGUUAUAUUGUAAAAUAUAAUGAAGAAAUCAAAAUUGAGAAUGCUGACAUGAGUAACGAAAAUAAUGUUUAUAAACAUUAUCACCGAAAGCCUAAGGGUUUCUACGGUAUGUUAAACAGCGUAGAUUUAGUCGGCCCCUAAGAUUAUAGUGAAAACUUAAAUUAAUGGGUAUUUUGUAAUUAAUAAUUACAAACUAUGAAUUAGUGACGUCAAUUUUAAAAUAUAUAUUAUGAUUUUUAAUUUUAUUAAUAUUUGUUAUUAAUAUGCUUAAUAUAUUUAUAAAAUUUGGCCUAGAAAAAACUAUUCGUAAUUUUUAUGUUUAUAAAAAUAAAAACCGUACUAAAACCGACACAGGUAGGCUGGUAGAGUAUACUAAGGUGAUUGAGAAAAUAAUACUGAAGGAAUUCGGCAAAAUAGCUCCGUAACUUCGGGAGAAGGAGUGCCUUAAUUAAGUAUAUAAAAAUAUACUUUAAGGUGUAAUAUAAUAGAGAAGAGCGACUGUUUAAUAAAAACACAGGACUCUGCUAAGUUGUAAAACGACGUAUAGAGUCUGAGACCUGCCCAGUGCUGUUUGGUUAAACAUUUAAGGUUUUUUUUAAGUAAAAGCUAAAAAUUAGAGCCUCGGUAAACGGCAGCUGUAAAUAUAACGGUUCUAAGGUAGCGAAAUUCAUUGUCGAGUAAGUUUUGACCUGCAUGAAUGGUUCAACGACUCUUCUACUGUCUCCAGUAUUAACUCAGUGAAAUUGAAAUUUCCGUGAAGAUGCGGAAUUUUAUCGGCGGGACGGAAAGACCCCAUGCACCUUUACUAUAGUUAUGUAUGGUUGGAGGGUAUUAAAUAUGUAGUAUAAAUGUUAGUCUAUGACAUCGUAACGCCAGUUACCUAUCGAGACGCCAGUGAAAUAGCAUUUUUUUAAUACUUAAAAACUAAUUUUAUAAAAAUAAAUAAGAGACAAUGCAUGAUUGGUAGUUUAACUGGGAAGGUUGCCUCCUAAAUAGUAACGGAGGCGUACAAAAGAUAAGUUUAAAUCUAAUUUUUAUUAGAUUGAAAGUAUAAUGGCAAUAAACUUAUUUGACUGUGAGACAAACAAGUCAAACAGAAAUCUGUUUUUUACAGGUUGGUCAUAGUGAUCCAGUGACUCUUUGUGGAAAGGUUGCUGCUCAACGGAUAAAAGGUACGCUGGGGAUAACAGGCUAAUAAUCCUUGAGAGUUCUUAUCGACGGGAUUGUUUGGCACCUCGAUGUCGGAUCAUCACAUCCUGGAGCUGAAGCAGGUUCCAAGGGUUAGGCUGUUCGCCUAUUAAAGUGGUACGUGAUCUGGGUUUAGAACGUCGUGAGACA